This is an RNA transcript of Quercus robur (English oak), 848 nucleotides long. It is a transcript of the gene named midasin-like, with no coding region annotated. The record is from RefSeq and is a predicted model, not a curated record. The transcript has 7 exons. NCBI's taxonomy places the organism in Eukaryota, Viridiplantae, Streptophyta, Magnoliopsida, Fagales, Fagaceae.
UGUAAUACCUUAAAAUUGGAGAUUUUUAUGUACGGUAACCUCAAAAUUUCUUCUCUACAGGCUGUUCAGAAUGGAUUUUGGGUUGUAUUUGAGGAUGUUGACAAAGCACCAUCUGAUGUGCAAUCCAUCAUACUACCUUUGCUGGAAGGUGCAAAAUCAUUUUCAAAUGGGCAUAGGGAGGAAAUAAUGGUGGCAGAAAGUUUUUGACUAUUUUCCACAAUUUCAACUUUUAGAUUUGAUAUAUCACACAGUUCAGAAGGGCACGGGUAUAUAUAUAUAUAUAUAUAUAUAUUGAUAAGCAGGGUUGGGAUCAAUGUAGUCUUCUCUUGGUUAUGGAACAGGAAUACUAAUGGCUGUUUGAUUGGCAUGGUGGGAAUGGGUUUGAAGAAAUUCACCUAACCCUGCCUGUUGCCUUCCAAUGUGGAAAACUUGGUGUUUUUUGGAGGAAAAGUGAUGAUUGUGCCUCCAAGUAAGGAAGACUUGCAAAAUAUAAUAAAAGCCUGGUAUCCAAAUUUAGAGCCAAUUUCUGAGAAACUCAUAGGAACCUUUGAAAGGGUUAACUCUUCUCCUGUACAUCAACUAGCGGGAUUCCACCCCAGAAAUUCUGCUGUUAGUUUUCUCAGCAGAUUCUCAUUAAGGGAUCUUCUUAAAUGGUGCAAGCGAAUCUUAGGUUUAAUUAGGCUUUAGCUUCAAUGGAGAUGGUUUGUCAGCUUAUGAGUGUAAUUACUGAGAUAUGGGUUCCCCCUGUUGGUGACCUAAAUGAGCUUAAGAGUAUUGCUCUGCAGAGAUUUUCCAACCCAAACCAAUCGCACAUUGUAGAUGCUAUGCUAAGUUUUUGGGAAGUACAU